GAUGAAGAACGUAGUGAAAUGCGAUAAGUAGUGUGAAUUGCAGAAUUCAGUGAAUCAUCGAAUCUUUGAACGCACAUUGCGCCCCUUGGUAUCCCGAGGGGCAUGCCUGUUCGAGCGUCAUUUCACCACUCAAGCCUGGCUUGGUGUUGGGCGACGUCCUCUUUGGUGACGCGCCUCGAAACGCUCGGCGGCGUGGCACCGGCUUUAAGCGUAGCAGAAUCUUUCGCUUUGGAAGUCGGGGCCCCGUCUGCCGGAAGACCUGCUCGCAAGGUUGACCUCGGAUCAGGCAGGGAUACCCGCUGAACUUAAGCAUAUCAAUAAGCGGAGGA
RNAcentral lists this unclassified non-coding RNA (329 nucleotides) under soil metagenome. Its description in RNAcentral is "partial contains 5.8S ribosomal RNA, internal transcribed spacer 2, and large subunit ribosomal RNA". The stretch from base 1 to 120 matches the Rfam family "5.8S ribosomal RNA", at positions 35 to 154 of the family's 154-position model. The record is from RNAcentral.